AUGCUGGACAAGUCUGGUUCGGAGAUCAACCCCAACAACUUCAUCGACAUGCAGCGCAAGUGGAAAGAUCCAAAGACCGCCAAAUACUACGACUCCUUGGCCGAUGUUACAGGCGGCGUCAUCCACCCAUUCUACGAAACCAUGAAGAAGAAGAUGGACAGGUCAGACCACAAACUGUGGGAGACCAGCCCGCUGCCAGACAACCUCAUCACCUAUGCACGAAUAGAUGCGUACGCAAAGUACAAGUCAUGGAAGACAAUCGACAACAUCGUGACAGGUUGGGAUAUUUCAAAAGAGCAGGAGGCUGACCCCUACUACCACUGCAACUUCACGGGAUGA
RNAcentral lists this ribosomal RNA (339 nucleotides) under Triticum aestivum (bread wheat). RNAcentral's name for it is "partial small subunit ribosomal RNA". Lineage: Eukaryota; Viridiplantae; Streptophyta; Magnoliopsida; Poales; Poaceae. The record is from RNAcentral.